Molecule: long non-coding RNA, 1243 nt
Organism: Ictalurus punctatus (channel catfish)
Lineage: Eukaryota; Metazoa; Chordata; Actinopteri; Siluriformes; Ictaluridae
Source: Ensembl
CUCUCUCUCUGUCUCUCUAUCUCUCUCUCUCUGUCUCACAUUCUCUCUCUCUCUCUCUCUAUCUCACAUUCUCUCUCUCUCUCUCUCUCACAUUCUCUCUCUCUCUCUCUCUCUCUCUCUCUCUCUCUCUCUCUCUCUCUCUCUGCAUGAAGAUGCAGUCUUUUUUCCAAACAUACCUAAAACAUGAUACACACAAUCUCUCAACCGCACAAUCUGGCUUUUCAUCAUGUUCCCGUAUUACAACGACGCCUCUUUGAUUGAUAUCUCACUCUCCCUCAGGGCCUCCAUUACCCGGCGCUGGAACCUCACAUGAUUUUACAAUCAUGCGCAAACCUCAAUCGCUGUUUUUCCUGACUGUUUUUGGAUUCCAGAUCAUUCCUCACAUUACUUCUUCUUCUUCUUUUCUUUUCUGGUCUUUUUUUUUUUUUUUAACACAUAACUGCAUCCACGCUGAUCCCCAGAGGACGAUGCGUUGUCUGCCCUUCCUCUCGCUGUCAGACGCGGGGUUGAUACGCCUCGCUCUGGGUAAGGAACUUUAGCUCGCCCGCUUUCGCUUCAGCAUGGCUCUCUGAGGAAUUCUCUUUCGUCUCGUCUUCAGCUCACCAGACCGAAGAUGAGAUCUGUUAGCAGAUGGAUAAUACGAUUCGUCGUGUCUUUACAGCACAGUCAGCAGGGAGCGCUGAAACUAACAUCUACUCCGAUGUGCGUCCAUACUUCCCUGCGACCUGACUGGAGACGUUUCUGUCUCUGAUCUGGAGCAGCCGGCGGCCUAGUCCGCACCGGCGUGGGGGAAAUACGACCGAUUCAACUGAGCAAACGUGGAAAACGAACGUGAUUACAACGACUGAGACUAUUCAUCAGUAUUCAUCGAUACCGGAACAUUUUUAUUUAUCUCUGUUUAUGCCGGUUCCCGUGUGCCGCAAGCAAUGAACUCCUCGCGCUGAGACGCCAGCAGCUUGUGAGCAUAGAUUUUGCGGGGGCAGGACGACAUUAAUAACAACAUAACCUCAAACAAAAUGAAGUCUCGAGGCUCUCUCACUCGACUGAUGUUAUAGUAACCCCAUAACUGAGAAUCAACAACAUUCAGCCAUGCAGUGUACAGUCUAACAGCUUGUUUUGAGUGGGUUUUCAGACUGACCUUUGUUCAACGGCGUUCAUCGACCAAGGUUGACACGUUUUUGUUUUGUUUUUUAAGGAAAAUGUCUGGCAAAAUGUCUUAAAAUCCACACAAAAGACUUCAAAC